This 91-nucleotide transfer RNA is filed under the name Sphingobacteriaceae bacterium. Its description in RNAcentral is "tRNA-Ser". It matches the Rfam family "tRNA". Rfam says of the family: Transfer RNA (tRNA) molecules are approximately 80 nucleotides in length. Their secondary structure includes four short double-helical elements and three loops (D, anti-codon, and T loops). Lineage: Bacteria; Pseudomonadati; Bacteroidota; Sphingobacteriia; Sphingobacteriales; Sphingobacteriaceae. The record is from RNAcentral.
GGAGAGGUGUCUGAGUGGUCGAAAGAGCACGCCUGGAAAGUGUGUAUACAUCAAAAGUGUAUCGAGGGUUCGAAUCCCUCCCUCUCCGCGA